This 223-nucleotide ribosomal RNA is filed under the name Bacillus sp. (in: firmicutes). RNAcentral's name for it is "Bacillus sp. (in: Bacteria) partial 16S ribosomal RNA". It matches the Rfam family "Bacterial small subunit ribosomal RNA", at positions 560 to 782 of the family's 1533-position model. Lineage: Bacteria; Bacillati; Bacillota; Bacilli; Caryophanales; Bacillaceae. The record is from RNAcentral.
GUAAAGCGCGCGCAGGCGGUUUCUUAAGUCUGAUGUGAAAGCCCCCGGCUCAACCGGGGAGGGUCAUUGGAAACUGGGGAACUUGAGUGCAGAAGAGGAGAGUGGAAUUCCACGUGUAGCGGUGAAAUGCGUAGAGAUGUGGAGGAACACCAGUGGCGAAGGCGACUCUCUGGUCUGUAACUGACGCUGAGGCGCGAAAGCGUGGGGAGCGAACAGGAUUAGA